CCCCGGUUAGCACAGUAGGUAGAGCGCUCCACCUGUAAUGGAGAGGUCCCGGGUUCGAUACCCGGACCAGGCA
Molecule: transfer RNA, 73 nt
Filed under: Ixodes scapularis (black-legged tick)
Lineage: Eukaryota; Metazoa; Arthropoda; Arachnida; Ixodida; Ixodidae
Rfam family: tRNA
About the family: Transfer RNA (tRNA) molecules are approximately 80 nucleotides in length. Their secondary structure includes four short double-helical elements and three loops (D, anti-codon, and T loops).
Source: Rfam by way of RNAcentral